UACGGAGGAUGCGAGCGUUAUCCGGAUUUAUUGGGUUUAAAGGGUGCGUAGGCGGACGGUCAAGUCAGCGGUAAAAAUGCGGUGCUCAACGCCGUACAGCCGUUGAAACUGGCAGUCUUGAGUGGGCGAGAAGUACGCGGAAUGCGCGGUGUAGCGGUGAAAUGCUUAGAUAUCGCGCAGAACCCCGAUUGCGAAGGCAGCGUACCGGCUCCACACUGACGCUGAGGCACGAAAGCGUGGGUAUCGAACAGG
This 252-nucleotide ribosomal RNA is filed under the name uncultured Bacteroidales bacterium. Its description in RNAcentral is "partial 16S ribosomal RNA". It matches the Rfam family "Bacterial small subunit ribosomal RNA", at positions 524 to 776 of the family's 1533-position model. Lineage: Bacteria; Pseudomonadati; Bacteroidota; Bacteroidia; Bacteroidales. The record is from RNAcentral.